AUACUUACAUGGCAGAGGAGAUACCAUGAUCACAUGGUUCUCUCAAGGCACAGGUCAUCCAAAGCACUCAGGUCUUUCUGACACCUGCAAUUUCCUCAAGCAGGGGAACUCAGCUGCACAAUUUCUGUUCGUGGGGAAUUUCGCACUGUCCCCC
This 154-nucleotide small nuclear RNA is filed under the name Panthera leo (lion). Its description in RNAcentral is "U1 spliceosomal RNA (ENSPLOG00000014548.1)". It matches the Rfam family "U1 spliceosomal RNA". Rfam says of the family: U1 is a small nuclear RNA (snRNA) component of the spliceosome (involved in pre-mRNA splicing). Its 5' end forms complementary base pairs with the 5' splice junction, thus defining the 5' donor site of an intron. The record is from Rfam by way of RNAcentral. Lineage: Eukaryota; Metazoa; Chordata; Mammalia; Carnivora; Felidae.